AAUACUAAGCCGGAAUUUAACGGGUAACAUUGAUGUUGUUAAUUAUGAGUUGUCUCUAGUAUUU
This 64-nucleotide transfer RNA is filed under the name Haemadipsa yanyuanensis. RNAcentral describes it as "tRNA-Ile". Lineage: Eukaryota; Metazoa; Annelida; Clitellata; Hirudinida; Haemadipsidae. The record is from RNAcentral.